Molecule: transfer RNA, 75 nt
Filed under: bacterium
Lineage: Bacteria
Description: tRNA-Ile
Rfam family: tRNA
About the family: Transfer RNA (tRNA) molecules are approximately 80 nucleotides in length. Their secondary structure includes four short double-helical elements and three loops (D, anti-codon, and T loops).
Source: RNAcentral
UGGGCUUGUAGCUCAGUUGGUUAGAGCAGGGGACUCAUAAUCCCUUUGUCCAGGGUUCAAGUCCCUGCGGCCCUA